Molecule: long non-coding RNA, 1693 nt
Filed under: Arachis ipaensis
Lineage: Eukaryota; Viridiplantae; Streptophyta; Magnoliopsida; Fabales; Fabaceae
Description: long non-coding RNA (AIPA_LNC001703)
Source: RNAcentral
UUUUCAUUUAUCUCUCUUUUGAUUUUGGAUGCUAGACUAAUUUGAUUGAUUUACAACAGAUCUUGCUUCUUGAGCUCCUUUCCUUGUGUCAGGGAAUUAAAGAUUUUUUCCUCCUUUUUUCCUGCCUCUUUCCUACCGUCCUCGUGUACUGCAUUGCCCUUAUCUUUAGAAGUCACUUUAGCCCCUUCUCUCUCUAUUAUCUGCUAGUUAAUAGCACUUUUAGUAGUCCUUUGUUCACUCUCUCUAGUCCUGCUUGUCUUCUUGCCUCCAUGGUGAUUAGUGGUCUGGCUGGGUUGGUUCCUAGCUUCACGGAGUAUUUGGGUAUGUUAGGGUUCUAGCAUGUCAUGGCUGUGGAUCUACUACAGGCCCUUCUCUCAUGCCCUAUGAUGCUGCAUUGAAACAGUAACAAUCUUGUAAUCUCUCAAUAUUUGAUUUUGAGGCUUAUCCACAUUUCUAGAUGGGGUCUCUUGAGAGCCAGAAUCCUGUUUGGAGGGGCCUUGAAAUGUCUAUUGUGGUUUUGAAUCUCAAAACUUUCCUCAUGAGAGUGUUGUCUAUGACAGGAUCAUCCACUUCCUUGACAAUUCCUAUUAAAUCUACAAUUUCAGAGACUACUUCCAGGUUCAUGUUUUCCUCUGGCACUCCAUGUACUUGAAUCCAAAAAGCCAUGAAGUCGUGGUUUAUCUCCUCUAAAGCGUCCCCUCGGUGACCAUCUUUGUAAGUUGAUGAGAUUUUCUUUUAUGCACCAAGGACCAUUGUCUAGGGUUUGCAUUCAUCUCCUUUUGUCGCUAAAGCUGAUUAGGACUUUGUUCCUACCCACUUCAAAAAUGGCUACUCCUUCUGAGUUUCCCCACAUGCCCAAAAGGACAUUCUUGCAAAUCUUGAAUUUUAUUUCUUUUUCUGUGAUGACUAUUCCAACCAUGUUGCAAUGGUCUAGGUUGAGGCCUUGGUUUCUCUUAGGCUUUAUGCUUAUGAUUUUGCCCUCAAUGGGCUCCAUUCCCAUAUUUGUCGCUAUAAUGUCCUGGUAAUUCAACUUCAGUUCAAUAGUUGAUAUGAUUUGUGUGUGGUUGAUUUCUAAUGCAGGUUAACUUGUGAUGAGAUACGGGUUUCCUCGACUUGGGAGAGGAUAAGGCUGUUUUGUAGAUGUGGUUGGCGAAAAUGGUUAAAAAGAUGUUUAGUUGUGCUAUGCAAGGUUAUAGUUUAAGAGUAUUUUGCUGCUUAGUGAUAAAAUAUGUAGGAUUGGACUCGGGAAGGGUAAAAAUUAAUGGUUAGGUUGUUGCUAGUAGAAGUUAUAUAAUGUAUGGUAGAACUGUUGAAAGCAGUGGAGUAGCUGGUUUAAUUUUCUGUGUGCUCUAUUGUUAGUUAAGUGAUUGGGUUAGAAUGGUUAAAAGAGCUUGGUCAGGGUUAAAGGUUAGCAAAGGUUGCAGGUUUGCUGAGUUAUUUAGAAAAGUGGUUUAAGGGGAUGUUUGAUGGUUAUGCUUAGUGAUAUCAAAGCUUGAAUGAACAGGGUGUUAUGAUCGGAGACUGCUUGAUUUGAAAUUGUGUUUUGCACUUCAAAUGUGGUUUGUAAUGGAGACAACUCUCUCACUUACUAGAACCAAAGUUCUCAAGAACCUCUUCGUUGAGAGAAAAUUUUUUCCAAUUGAAAGAAACUUAACAAACGUAAGGUGUCUUUGCUUAAUACAUCUGGGUAGAG